RNAcentral lists this ribosomal RNA (468 nucleotides) under uncultured bacterium. RNAcentral describes it as "bacterial SSU rRNA". It matches the Rfam family "Bacterial small subunit ribosomal RNA", at positions 28 to 507 of the family's 1533-position model. The record is from RNAcentral.
GAUGAACGCUAGCGGCAGGCCUAAUACAUGCAAGUCAAGGGGAUAGCAAUAUCACCGGCGGACGGGUGCGUAACGCGUACACAACGUGCCCAAGGGCGGAGGAAAGCGGCGGGAAACUGCCGGUAAUACUCCAUGGUGUUGUUGAGUGGCAUCGCUUAACAACUAAAGUACAAGCGCCCUUGGAUCGGUGUGCGUUCGAUUAGCUAGUUGGCGGGGUAACGGCCCACCAAGGCUUCGAUCGAUAGGGGGUGUGAGAGCAUGACCCCCCACACGGGUACUGAGACACGGACCCGACUCCUACGGGAGGCAGCAGUAAGGAAUAUUGGACAAUGGGCGGAAGCCUGAUCCAGCCAUGCCGCGUGAAGGACGAAGGCGCUCAGCGUUGUAAACUUCUUUUGGAUGGGAACAAUAACUCCGACUUGUCGGAACUUGAGGGUACCAUCAGAAUAAGCACCGGCUAACUCCGUG